This 240-nucleotide long non-coding RNA is filed under the name Pan troglodytes (chimpanzee). RNAcentral describes it as "long non-coding RNA NONPTRT004561". Lineage: Eukaryota; Metazoa; Chordata; Mammalia; Primates; Hominidae. The record is from RNAcentral.
CGAGUAGCCAUGUGCCAUAUGAUUUAUCGGAAGGCACUUCGUCUUAGUAAUAUGGCCAUGGGGAAGACAACCACAGGCCAGAUAGUCAAUCUGCUGUCCAAUGAUGUGAACAAGUUUGAUCAGGUGACAGUGUUCUUACACUUCCUGUGGGCAGGACCACUGCAGGCGAUCGCAGUGACUGCCCUACUCUGGAUGGAGAUAGGAAUAUCGUGCCUUGCUGGGAUGGCAGUUCUAAUCAUU